RNAcentral lists this ribosomal RNA (253 nucleotides) under uncultured bacterium. Its description in RNAcentral is "partial 16S ribosomal RNA". It matches the Rfam family "Bacterial small subunit ribosomal RNA", at positions 524 to 776 of the family's 1533-position model. The record is from RNAcentral.
UACGUAGGGUGCAAGCGUUGUCCGGAAUUAUUGGGCGUAAAGAGCUCGUAGGCGGUCUGUCGCGUCGGCUGUGAAAACCCGAGGCUCAACCUCGGGCCUGCAGUCGAUACGGGCAGACUAGAGUUCGGCAGGGGAGACUGGAAUUCCUGGUGUAGCGGUGAAAUGCGCAGAUAUCAGGAGGAACACCGGUGGCGAAGGCGGGUCUCUGGGCCGGUACUGACGCUGAGGUGCGAAAGCGUGGGGAGCAAACAGG